Long non-coding RNA from Polypterus senegalus (gray bichir), 1859 nucleotides. RefSeq lists it as uncharacterized. Lineage: Eukaryota; Metazoa; Chordata; Cladistia; Polypteriformes; Polypteridae. The record is from RefSeq and is a predicted model, not a curated record. The transcript has 3 exons.
UUGUUUUGUUUGUUUGGUGCUUGUAUUUAUCUGUUGAAUUCCCUGGCGUUGUUCUGCCAUACAUCUUCGUGUCCUGGAUUGUAUUGUUUGUUGGGGACUGGAAUCAUUUGUCUACCUGUCUACUAUUUACUGAGGACGGUGUCUGGAUUCAUUGGCUUACCCAGAAGAAGGAGCGCUUCUGAACCAUUCAUCUGUCAUCAUACUUCAACAAUUACCGGCCUGCAUCAGAAACACCUUCCUGUCCCUGGCUUUCAGAAGCACUUCACUAUCAACAGACCCACAUCAGGACAUCAGGAAAUGGAGGAAGUCAAAGACUCAGACAGACCUGGCUAAAUAUUAAUCUCUUUUUGCAUCCUUUUUUUCUGCCACCAUCAACGCUAGGCACUUGAACGUGCGGUUUCUAAACAGAUCUCUUCCUUCCUUGUACAAAAUGGAUUGCUUGAUACAAACCAGUCUGGCUUCAAGAUGAACCACUUGACUGAGAUGGCUCUACUAACGAUGGUCGACCAGCUACAACUUCCUAGAGGUACCAACAUAAAUCCUUGUAGAUCUCUCCUCUGCCUUUGAAGCAUAUAAUCACUUUUUAUGAUCACACUAUCUGACAUUAGCAUCACUGGAAGUGCUUCAGAUGGUUUGAAUCACACAUCUCGGGCAGAUGGUACAGUGUGUCCUGGCAAGGAAAGUUGUCAAAGGCACACCAGACAUGCAUAGGAUUGCCCCAAGGUUCAGUGCUGGGUUCUCUGCUUUUCUCUCUGUACACCACCUCACUCCAUCAUACAAUCCCAUGGGUUCUCUUAUCAGUGCUAUGCAGAUGAUACUCAUAUGUACCUGUCGUUCCCUCUGGAGGACAAUAUGGUAUCAGCUAGAGACUCUGCCUUUCUUACUGAUAUCUCAACCUGUAUGAAUGAUCACCACCUACAGCUCAAUUUGGAAAAACCAACAAGCUUUUUGUUAUCGCAGCCAGCAAGUCUGUUCAACUCCCCAUCUCUGUACAGCUUGACUGACUGUUGGUAACACCUGCCAAGUCUGAAUAUAAACCUGGUUUAGUGAUUAAUGAGCAGCUGUUUUUUUCUGACCACAUUUGUACUGUUUCUCAUUCAUGCAUUUUCAAGCUGUACAACAUCCGUAAGAUCAGACCCUAUCUGACAGAGUAUACCAAGUAACUUUUUGUCGCAUCUGGACUACUGCAACUCACGUCUGGCAGGAGUACCUGCAUGUGCUAUCAAGCCGCUGCAGAUGAUGCACAAUGCAGCAGCCUGUCCUGUAUUUAACCAGCUGAGAAGGGCACAUAUCACGUUUCUCUUCAGGUGACUACAUUGGAUCCCUAUGGAAGCACACAUAAAGGUCAAAUAUCUUAUGUUUUCCCUACAAGAGUAGUCAAUGGGACAGCACCUGAGUAUAUGGUGGCGCAUGUGAUUUUCUAUACUCCUUCUUGCCCAUUCAGGUCUGUCAGGGAACAGCAUCUGGUGAUUCUACCUCACUGUCUCAAUCCAGACACUUUUCCUGUGUAGUUCCUAGUUGGCGGAACAGGCUACCCAGCUCCAUCUGUACUGCUGACUCUAUCAUUGUAUUAAGAAGCACUUGAAGACCCAUCUGUUCUGUGAACAUCUGUCUAAAGGGAGAGGGAUGUAUUAUAUUCUUGCUUAAUUUGUUUAAUUUUAAUUGCCUUAUCAAUUAUAAUCAGAUUUUAGAUUAUUAGUUACUACCUAUUUUCACUUGUGGCAAUCAAAUUUUGUUACCUGUCAUAUUACACUUGGUGAACAAACAGGUCCUAGCCUAAAGUUACUCAGUUACGUUUACCUUUGUUGUAAAUUGCUUCAGAUAAAAGCGGCUGCCAAGCAAAUAAAUAAAAUGCAAAU